Molecule: ribosomal RNA, 305 nt
Filed under: uncultured bacterium
Lineage: Bacteria
Description: bacterial SSU rRNA
Rfam family: Bacterial small subunit ribosomal RNA
Source: RNAcentral
UCCCUACGGGGGGCAGCAGUGGGGAAUAUUGGGCAAUGGGGGCAACCCUGACCCAGCAACGCCGCGUGAAGGAAGAAGGCUUUCGGGUUGUAAACUUCUUUGACGAGGGACGAAAAAAAUGACGGUACCUCGAAAACAAGCCACGGCUAACUACGUGCCAGCAGCCGCGGUAAUACGUAGGUGGCAAGCGUUGUCCGGAUUUACUGGGUGUAAAGGGCGCGUAGGCGGGACUGCAAGUCAGAUGUGAAAUGCAGAGGCUCAACCUCUGAGCUGCAUUUGAAACUGUAGUUCUUGAGUAUCGGAGA